UGCAUUGGCGUAUUUGUGAUGAAGUAUGU
RNAcentral lists this non-coding RNA (29 nucleotides) under Mus musculus (house mouse). The record is from RNAcentral. Lineage: Eukaryota; Metazoa; Chordata; Mammalia; Rodentia; Muridae.